GAUUCGUCACACUAUCAUUAACUGAAUCCAUAGGUUAAUGAGGCGAACCGGGGGAACUGAAACAUCUAAGUACCCCGAGGAAAAGAAAUCAACCGAGAUUCCCCCAGUAGCGGCGAGCGAACGGGGAGGAGCCCAGAGCCUGAAUCAGCAUGUGUGUUAGUGGAAGCGUCUGGAAAGGCGCGCGAUACAGGGUGACAGCCCCGUACACAAAAGCGCAUGUGCUGUGAGCUCGAUGAGUAGGGCGGGACACGUGGUAUCCUGUCUGAAUAUGGGGGGACCAUCCUCCAAGGCUAAAUACUCCUGACUGACCGAUAGUGAACCAGUACCGUGAGGGAAAGGCGAAAAGAACCCCGGCGAGGGGAGUGAAAAAGAACCUGAAACCGUGUACGUACAAGCAGUGGGAGCACCCUUCGGGGUGUGACUGCGUACCUUUUGUAUAAUGGGUCAGCGACUUAUAUUCUGUAGCAAGGUUAACCGAAUAGGGGAGCCGGAGGGAAACCGAGUCUUAAUUGGGCGUUAAGUUGCAGGGUAUAGACCCGAAACCCGGUGAUCUAGCCAUGGGCAGGUUGAAGGUUGGGUAACACUAACUGGAGGACCGAACCGACUAAUGUUGAAAAAUUAGCGGAUGACCUGUGGCUGGGGGUGAAAGGCCAAUCAAACCGGGAGAUAGCUGGUUCUCCCCGAAAGCUAUUUAGGUAGCGCCUCGUGAAUUCAUCUCCGGGGGUAGAGCACUGUUUCGGCUAGGGGGCCAUCCCGGCUUACCAACCCGAUGCAAACUGCGAAUACCGGAGAAUGUUAUCACGGGAGACACACGGCGGGUGCUAACGUCCGUCGUGAAGAGGGAAACAACCCAGACCGCCAGCUAAGGUCCCAAAGUCAUGGUUAAGUGGGAAACGAUGUGGGAAGGCCCAGACAGCCAGGAUGUUGGCUUAGAAGCAGCCAUCAUUUAAAGAAAGCGUAAUAGCUCACUGGUCGAGUCGGCCUGCGCGGAAGAUGUAACGGGGCUAAACCAUGCACCGAAGCUGCGGCAGCGAACGUAUCACCCAAGACAACUUUACGGAGUUGACGAUUGACGGAGCGAAGCGACGUCAAAGCGUUCAUUAAAGUCGAGUUGGCUUAGGGAUACGUUCGUUGGGUAGGGGAGCGUUCUGUAAGCCUGUGAAGGUGUGUCGUGAGGCAUGCUGGAGGUAUCAGAAGUGCGAAUGCUGACAUAAGUAACGAUAAAGCGGGUGAAAAGCCCGCUCGCCGGAAGACCAAGGGUUCCUGUCCAACGUUAAUCGGGGCAGGGUGAGUCGACCCCUAAGGCGAGGCCGAAAGGCGUAGUCGAUGGGAAACGGGUUAAUAUUCCCGUACUUGGUGUUACUGCGAAGGGGGGACGGAGAAGGCUAUGUUGGCCGGGCGACGGUUGUCCCGGUUUAAGCGUGUAGGUGUGUGUUCCAGGUAAAUCCGGUUCACUUUAACACUGAGGCGUGACGACGAGGCACUACGGUGCUGAAGCAACAAAUGCCCUGCUUCCAGGAAAAGCCUCUAAGCAUCAGGUAACAUCAAAUCGUACCCCAAACCGACACAGGUGGUCAGGUAGAGAAUACCAAGGCGCUUGAGAGAACUCGGGUGAAGGAACUAGGCAAAAUGGUGCCGUAACUUCGGGAGAAGGCACGCUGACACGUAGGUGAAGUGAUUUACUCAUGGAGCUGAAGUCAGUCGAAGAUACCAGCUGGCUGCAACUGUUUAUUAAAAACACAGCACUGUGCAAACACGAAAGUGGACGUAUACGGUGUGACGCCUGCCCGGUGCCGGAAGGUUAAUUGAUGGGGUCAGCGCAAGCGAAGCUCCUGAUCGAAGCCCCGGUAAACGGCGGCCGUAACUAUAACGGUCCUAAGGUAGCGAAAUUCCUUGUCGGGUAAGUUCCGACCUGCACGAAUGGCGUAAUGAUGGCCAGGCUGUCUCCACCCGAGACUCAGUGAAAUUGAACUCGCUGUGAAGAUGCAGUGUACCCGCGGCAAGACGGAAAGACCCCGUGAACCUUUACUAUAGCUUGACACUGAACAUUGAGCCUUGAUGUGUAGGAUAGGUGGGAGGCUUUGAAGUGUGGACGCCAGUCUGCAUGGAGCCGACCUUGAAAUACCACCCUUUAAUGUUUGAUGUUCUAACGUGGACCCGUAAUCCGGGUUGCGGACAGUGUCUGGUGGGUAGUUUGACUGGGGCGGUCUCCUCCUAAAGAGUAACGGAGGAGCACGAAGGUUGGCUAAUCCUGGUCGGACAUCAGGAGGUUAGUGCAAUGGCAUAAGCCAGCUUGACUGCGAGCGUGACGGCGCGAGCAGGUGCGAAAGCAGGUCAUAGUGAUCCGGUGGUUCUGAAUGGAAGGGCCAUCGCUCAACGGAUAAAAGGUACUCCGGGGAUAACAGGCUGAUACCGCCCAAGAGUUCAUAUCGACGGCGGUGUUUGGCACCUCGAUGUCGGCUCAUCACAUCCUGGGGCUGAAGUAGGUCCCAAGGGUAUGGCUGUUCGCCAUUUAAAGUGGUACGCGAGCUGGGUUUAGAACGUCGUGAGACAGUUCGGUCCCUAUCUGCCGUGGGCGCUGGAGAACUGAGGGGGGCUGCUCCUAGUACGAGAGGACCGGAGUGGACGCAUCACUGGUGUUCGGGUUGUCAUGCCAAUGGCACUGCCCGGUAGCUAAAUGCGGAAGAGAUAAGUGCUGAAAGCAUCUAAGCACGAAACUUGCCCCGAGAUGAGUUCUCCCUGAGACUUAGAGUCUCCUGAAGGAACGUUGAAGACGACGACGUUGAUAGGCCGGGUGUGUAAGCGCAGCGAUGCGUUGAGCUAACCGGUACUAAUGAACCGUGAGGCUUAACCUUACA
This 2858-nucleotide ribosomal RNA is filed under the name Salmonella enterica subsp. enterica serovar Typhimurium. RNAcentral's name for it is "partial 23S ribosomal RNA". It matches the Rfam family "Bacterial large subunit ribosomal RNA". The record is from RNAcentral. Lineage: Bacteria; Pseudomonadati; Pseudomonadota; Gammaproteobacteria; Enterobacterales; Enterobacteriaceae.